UUCUGCUCAGGAUGAACGCUGGCGGCGUGCUUAAUACAUGCAAGUCGAACGAGUUCUGAUUAUUGAAAGGUGCUUGCAUCUUGAUUUAAUUUUGAACGAGUGGCGGACGGGUGAGUAACACGUGGGUAACCUGCCCUUAAGUGGGGGAUAACAUUUGGAAACAGAUGCUAAUACCGCAUAAAUCCAAGAACCGCAUGGUUCUUGGCUGAAAGAUGGCGUAAGCUAUCGCUUUUGGAUGGACCCGCGGCGUAUUAGCUAGUUGGUGAGGUAACGGCUCACCAAGGCAAUGAUACGUAGCCGAACUGAGAGGUUGAUCGGCCACAUUGGGACUGAGACACGGCCCAAACUCCUACGGGAGGCAGCAGUAGGGAAUCUUCCACAAUGGACGCAAGUCUGAUGGAGCAACGCCGCGUGAGUGAAGAAGGCUUUCGGGUCGUAAAACUCUGUUGUUGGAGAAGAAUGGUCGGCAGAGUAACUGUUGUCGGCGUGACGGUAUCCAACCAGAAAGCCACGGCUAACUACGUGCCAGCAGCCGCGGUAAUACGUAGGUGGCAAGCGUUAUCCGGAUUUAUUGGGCGUAAAGCGAGCGCAGGCGGUUUUUUAAGUCUGAUGUGAAAGCCCUCGGCUUAACCGAGGAAGUGCAUCGGAAACUGGGAAACUUGAGUGCAGAAGAGGACAGUGGAACUCCAUGUGUAGCGGUGAAAUGCGUAGAUAUAUGGAAGAACACCAGUGGCGAAGGCGGCUGUCUGGUCUGUAACUGACGCUGAGGCUCGAAAGCAUGGGUAGCGAACAGGAUUAGAUACCCUGGUAGUCCAUGCCGUAAACGAUGAAUGCUAGGUGUUGGAGGGUUUCCGCCCUUCAGUGCCGCAGCUAACGCAUUAAGC
This 884-nucleotide ribosomal RNA is filed under the name Lacticaseibacillus rhamnosus. Its description in RNAcentral is "bacterial SSU rRNA". It matches the Rfam family "Bacterial small subunit ribosomal RNA", at positions 18 to 865 of the family's 1533-position model. The record is from RNAcentral. Lineage: Bacteria; Bacillati; Bacillota; Bacilli; Lactobacillales; Lactobacillaceae.